GGUUGGCCUAGUGGUCAAGGCUUGGGACUUAAGCUCCUAAGGUCUCAGGUUCGAAACCUCUAAGGUGCU
Molecule: transfer RNA, 69 nt
Filed under: Rhododendron griersonianum
Lineage: Eukaryota; Viridiplantae; Streptophyta; Magnoliopsida; Ericales; Ericaceae
Description: tRNA-Leu
Rfam family: tRNA (bases 3-62)
About the family: Transfer RNA (tRNA) molecules are approximately 80 nucleotides in length. Their secondary structure includes four short double-helical elements and three loops (D, anti-codon, and T loops). Further hydrogen bonds mediate the characteristic L-shaped molecular structure. tRNAs have two regions of fundamental functional importance: the anti-codon, which is responsible for specific mRNA codon recognition, and the 3' end, to which the tRNAs corresponding amino acid is attached (by aminoacyl-tRNA synthetases). tRNAs cope with the degeneracy of the genetic code in two manners: having more than one tRNA (with a specific anti-codon) for a particular amino acid; and 'wobble' base-pairing, i.e. permitting non-standard base-pairing at the 3rd anti-codon position.
Source: RNAcentral